This is a long non-coding RNA of Hordeum vulgare subsp. vulgare (domesticated barley), 1044 nucleotides long. RefSeq lists it as uncharacterized. Lineage: Eukaryota; Viridiplantae; Streptophyta; Magnoliopsida; Poales; Poaceae. The record is from RefSeq and is a predicted model, not a curated record. The transcript has 2 exons.
GCACGCGCGCGCUCGCCCCCGCUCCUGCCGCGCACCUGCACGCACCAAGGUUCGAUCCCCACUGGCAUUUGAUAUAGAAAGUAGAAACAGCAAAUUUCACCCAGGCAACAUGAUGUCUUUAGUUUGCAAUCCCACCCACCCGCGGCGCCACAUCAGCAAAUCCAGUCCUAAAACCGGUGUGAGGGCGAUUUCAACCGGGAUAAGAAAUGUCAGGUGCCGACGCCUACACCUCGACCGCCUCGCUCGACCGUGUCGGCCCACUAAGAAUUAGGGUACCACGGCCCGUCUGCCUCCAGUCCAGAAGGCGGCAUGUGGGCUGGCCCGUGGAAGAUGGUUUGGAAGAAGCCGCCUUGCGAAGGGAAGGCCUCACGAGGCCUCUCACAGUCAAGUUAGUCCUAGUCAAGGUCACCAAGUAUCAAAACGUCUCACGAGGCCGUUUCAUGUAGAAUGUCCUAUGACGUCAGCCGCGGGGUUCCGCGUCCGUUACGUGGAUGACGUCCCGCUGUCACGACAAGGAUGACAGGGCAUGACCAUAGCCAGAUUCCAAUCUGAUGAUAAGGGAGCACCAACCAUCAAUUGUGACUCGGGGAGAUGAAAGGUAGAGAAUGGCUUAUUCGUAAAAGAAGGCUCCAAGCGAAAUAUAGAAUAGAAAGGAAGGGGCAUCCCCGUGAGAAAACCAGGUGGUGUUACUUUCCUCCUUCCACCUUCAAUUCAACAUUUUGUUCAUUCGAGUUUGAUUGUGUCAUAGUUCUAUAGUUGGAAUUUGGUUUAUCGUUGGAUGAACUGCAUUGCUGAUAUUGAUCCCAAGAAAAAAACAGCCGACAAAGAAAAAACAGAAUAUAACAGAGAAAUAUUGGUUCUGGCUGGCAGCGGGCAUAGGACUGAAAAUCCUCUUUCGCCGGGCCUUUUGGACUCGAAAUCCAAACAGAGAGAGUGGUUCAAAUCCACCUCAGAACGAACACGGAAUAUUCAGUUUGGUAACCUGCUACUAAUUCUUCCUCUGCUUCUGGUAAAUCAAAGGGUAAUCUUUCACAUUCUGCCAAA